GACGAACGCUGGCGGCGUGCUUAACACAUGCAAGUCGAACGGAAAGGCCCUGCUCUUGUUGGGUGGUCGAUUGGCGAGCGGGGGAGUAACACAUGAGUAACCUGCCCUUGACUGUGGGAUAACUUCAGGAAACUGGGGCUAAUACCGGAUAGGAGCUCCUGCUGCAUGGGGUGGGUUGGAAAGUGUCGGCGGUUGGGUCUGGACUCGCGGCUUAUCAGCUUGUUGGUGGGGUAGUGGCGUACCAAGGCUUUGACGGGUAGCCGGCCUGGGAGGGUGACAGGCCCCAUAGGGACUGAGAUAGGGGCAAGAGUCAUACGGGAGGCAGCAGUGGGGAAUAUUGCAAGCUGGGCGGAAGGAUGAUGGAGUGACGCCGCGUGGGAGAUGACGGUCUUCGGGUUGUAAAACGCUUUUGCCUGUCACGAAGCGUGAGUGACGGUAAUGGGCAAAGAAGCACCGGCUAAUUCCGUG
RNAcentral lists this ribosomal RNA (468 nucleotides) under uncultured bacterium. RNAcentral's name for it is "partial 16S ribosomal RNA". It matches the Rfam family "Bacterial small subunit ribosomal RNA", at positions 28 to 507 of the family's 1533-position model. The record is from RNAcentral.